Molecule: non-coding RNA, 107 nt
Organism: Arabis alpina (gray rockcress)
Lineage: Eukaryota; Viridiplantae; Streptophyta; Magnoliopsida; Brassicales; Brassicaceae
Source: Rfam
ACCCCAUGGUGAGGACAGCUUCUAGUGUAUUCUUUCAGACAUUCCCAAGCUUCACUUAGAGAUUCUUGACCACCUUGCCUAAAGGAGUUGAUGUCACUUUUGUACUU